Molecule: ribosomal RNA, 433 nt
Filed under: uncultured bacterium
Lineage: Bacteria
Description: partial 16S ribosomal RNA
Rfam family: Bacterial small subunit ribosomal RNA
Source: RNAcentral
AACGAACGCUGGCGGCAUGCCUAACACAUGCAAGUCGAACGAGACCUUCGGGUCUAGUGGCGCACGGGUGCGUAACGCGUGGGAACCUGCCCUUAGGUUCGGAAUAACUCCCCGAAAGGGGUGCUAAUACCGGAUAAUGUCUUCGGACCAAAGAUUUAUCGCCUUUGGAUGGGCCCGCGUUGGAUUAGCUAGUUGGUAGGGUAAAAGCCUACCAAGGCGACGAUCCAUAGCUGGUCUGAGAGGAUGAUCAGCCACACUGGGACUGAGACACGGCUCAGACUCCUACGGGAAGCAGCAGUGGGGAAUAUUGGACAAUGGGCGAAAGCCUGAUCCAGCAAUGCCGCGUGAGUGAUGAAGGCCUUAGGGUUGUAAAGCUCUUUUACCCGGGAUGAUAAUGACAGUACCGGGAGAAUAAGCGCCGGCUAACUCCGUG